RNAcentral lists this ribosomal RNA (406 nucleotides) under uncultured bacterium. RNAcentral describes it as "partial 16S ribosomal RNA". It matches the Rfam family "Bacterial small subunit ribosomal RNA", at positions 30 to 526 of the family's 1533-position model. The record is from RNAcentral.
AUUGAACGCUGGCGGCGUGCUUUACACAUGCAAGUCGGGCGAGUGGCGGACGGGUGAGUAAUGCAUCGGAAUGUGCCUGGUAGAGGGGGAUAACUACCCGAAACGACAGCUAAUACCGCAUAUCAUCCGAUCAGCCCAUGUUUGAUUAGCUGGUUGGCGGGGUAAAGGCUCACCAAGGCGACGAUCAGUAGCUGGUCUGAGAGGAUGAUCCGCCACACUGGGACUGAGACACGGCCCAGACUCCUACGGGAGGCAGCAGUGGGGAAUAUUGCACAAUGGGCGCAAGCCUGAUGCAGCCAUGCCGCGUGUAUGAAGAAGGCCUUCGGGUUGUAAAGGACUUUUGUUAGGGAAGCGGUACCGGAAGAAGAAGCACCGGCUAACUACGUGCCAGCAGCCGCGGUAAUAC